This 240-nucleotide ribosomal RNA is filed under the name uncultured bacterium. RNAcentral's name for it is "partial 16S ribosomal RNA". It matches the Rfam family "Bacterial small subunit ribosomal RNA", at positions 537 to 776 of the family's 1533-position model. The record is from RNAcentral.
AGCGUUGUUCGGAUUCAUUGGGCGUAAAGGGUGCGUAGGCGGCGCGGUAAGUCGGGUGUGAAAUCUCGGAGCUUAACUCCGAAACUGCAUUCGAUACUGCCGUGCUUGAGGACUGGAGAGGAGACUGGAAUUUACGGUGUAGCGGUGAAAUGCGUAGAUAUCGUAAGGAAGACCAGGGGCGAAGGCGGGUCUCUGGACAGUUCCUGACGCUGAGGCACGAAGGUCAGGGGAGCAAACGGG